AGUCACAGACUCGUUCAUAAGGAGAAAAAGGAAGACAUGUGGAGACGAGGCCCUCACACAUCUCCUAAGCUGCCAUCUUACCUGGCUCUGGAGCCCCUUUGAGAAAGUCAGGUGGGGCCUGGAAUCUUUACUCCAAGAGUUGGCCAGGAAUAAACUUUCUGUUUGCUCGGCCCCAGCCCCCUCCAGGAUAUUUGCAGGUCCCGCAGGAGUGAUUUUAUAAAAGUGGUGGAUGAACCAUAAAUUCCCGAAUUCUUUGUUCAUAUGUAUUUUAUGAAUUUAGAAAGCAGACUCAAAGGAGAAGUUGUAGGACGAGAUGUGAUACCAUGUUCUACAUGGAUUUGUGAAUUAAGUGGUUUGAAUCGUUACCGAGUAGUUUGAGAUUCAAGCAUGAUGCUUUCUACUGGAAUGUGAGCAGUUUACUGCUUCUAAGCACUGCUCUGGGUAUCUAGUAAGAAGCACAUUCAUUCCUUCAGACCCUAUUUCUGUGUCUGUGGUCACCUGGGCCUGCCCACCUCCCCUUCCUGAGACACUGCUUUCAUUAUGCCUCUCGGCCCUGGCUCAGGGAUCCUGCACGGUUUCCUCCAACUCCUUGACCUGGCAUUGGAGUCAGGGAGGGAGUGUGUUGGCUGGAGGAAGGAAGGGCGGUAGUUCAGGGAAAAGUCCGUAACCCUGAACAGGAACAGAGUAACAGAUCUCAGUGAGUGAGAUGACUGUAACAGAUUUUCUUCCUGCCAUUCAUCAGUUUAAAUGGAAUUCUGAUUAACUGUAGACUGGGUCUUUGUUUCCAUUUACACAUAAUUAAGACUAAGGUAACUUUGGGGGCCCCAGCCAACACUAAAUAUUCUGGGUCUUUAUUUUUUAGGGAUUAGCCUAGGAGUUUUUAGUUGUCAGCCUUUGACCACCUUAUUGACCACCAGAAAAUAAAAUUAUUUCAUUGUAAAGCAAUUCCUAGGAGACAUGCAUUUAAGUGUAUUAUCCGAUUAUUAAAAUGCCCCCCCCACACACAGAAUUAAACCCAACAUUGAGCACUACAUUGUACUGAUUUUUUUUCUGACAUUACUUUCUUACCUCACCUUCUUCUCCCAAAGCACAUUCUACUCGAGCAGCGUUUGUGUCUGGUGAGUAUUUUGGCUUGAGGAUUUUAGAUUUCGUUCCAGCAUUCCUUGUUCUUAAGUCAGUUAAGUUUAAUAAGAUUUUGCUGGCUUUCUUUGAGCUUUUCUUGGAUCUCUUGUUAGUGAUUAUUAUUCACAUCAUACUAAAGAAAAGUAUAUGCUGUCCUCUUAUUUAGUAUGUUUGGUGUAGGGCUCACAGCAAUCGUCUGGCGUGCAAAGGCUCACAUUUAAGGGCAAGUGCUUUAUAAUUUAGUGUAACGUUAACUGUAACGCAUGAGGCUGUUUGCUUUAUGGGCUCCAACUAAACCAAGUAGAUGUAACUUCAUGGGCUGAGGAAGAAUGCUUUCUCUUAACCAAAGCCACUUUUCAGCCAUUUAAAACUAUUCUUAAUGAACUGAUUGUGCCUUUUUUUCACUAUUCUAAUGUCUUUAAACAGUUUCCUUGUGAAAACAUAAGGCAUUCUUGGAUUCCUCUUUUAGGGUGUGCAUUGCAUGGGACCAGAGUCAUGUGGUAUUUCAACCUUUGAUUACUGCCUCUCCUCUUUCAUCCAUCUAAGUGGCAGAGACAAAAUGUGUUUGAAAAUGAAUUUCCCACGCCCCGCUUCCUUCACCUUUCAGGGAGCAGCCAGCUGAAGAGCUGCCUUUUAACUAGCGCUCUCUAAAGAGGAGAUAGUUAACUAAUAAUAGUGGAGGAAGGGACAUCCUUACCCAUCUUCCCCCAGUUUUGGAUAACACAAUUCCUUUUUUGUUUAUUGAAAUCGCUGGGGACAAAAUAGCAUCAUUUCUUGCUUGCUUCUUAGGACCAGACUCUACUAAUAAGAACUUUCUUUUUAACUUAAAUUAGUGCUCAAGCUGUUUCAUGCAAGUAGGAUUUGUCCCAGCUGAGGGGCUUUGAGUCUGAGCGGAACAGACAGAGAAUCACGUAUAGUAUGCACAAACAUACUUUUGGAACGUCGCAUAGAAAUGCCUCCACAGGUCACCAGGCCCAGUUACUAAUGGAGGCCACUGUUCUUGCUCUUCCCUCCACAUCCCCACUGGAGAGACGUCUUUAAGUGUCAGUCAUUCCUCUUCUGCCAGUUUUGAUUAAGUUGCUAUAGGGAUUUUUAAAUAUGUUCAAAAUGCACGUUUCUAUCAUUGUGUCUGCUGAAUCUUUAUUACAUCUCUGCAAAAUUUUUAUUGUCUCCAGGAGGAAAACUGCAAAUUAUUUAAUAGCACAGUUGGAGGUAGGAUUUUCUCAGCUGAACAGUAGCCACUAAAUGUUUACCUGGGCUUUCAAGUGCAUAGAAGUGAAAGACAGCAAAGGGGACUCAGCAGAAGGAUUGCCCAUAACCAGACAUUGUAGCAGUUUGGUCAUUUUGAAAAACAUGCCUUAUUUUCUCCCAUAGACUGGCAUUUCCCAUCAGUCAUAAAGAAAAUAUAAAACUUGUGUGUUAUAAGUGUAGACAUUCAUUACUGAAGGUAGAAAUGGUCAUAAUCAGGAGUCUAAAUGUAUCUUAGGUAUAAAUUCAACAUGGUUUGAAAUAGGAUUUUAGUGUCACAUAGUUUAGAAGUUAUUUUAUUUUUCAUUGGUUAAAAUAACCAACCUAAGACAUUCUGCCUAAAAAUCAUGAUUUAAAGAAAAGCAGUUCUUUAUCAGUGUGAAUCAAGUCUGUGAAACACAGAGCAUACUCACAUGGAUUUUAGGUGUGCCACCAAGGAUUGAAGAUGGGAAGGGAUGAAGGCUAUCGUCAAGAGUCGUGUCUCCCCUUCUCUCACCUGCAGAUAUAGGCUUUGUGUGGAAAUACAAUUAACUACUAAUGGGGUCUGUGUUCAUCACCUCCCUGAAUAUGUCUGGUCAUGUGCAUGAUUAAGACUAGUUUUCCAUCAACAUUGCAUUUAAGAUUAUAUAACAUUUGAAUUAUUUUUAUUCUGCAAUCCCAUGACUAUGUCCUUUCCAUAAUGUCAUCACAAAAUUACCUUUCUAAGAAUUUUAAUAGUAAGGCUUAUCACUACUAAAAAUAUUCCAAAGUAUUCUGAUAUAAUGAAUAGCAGUCUUAAGUAAACACAUGAAUGAGUAAAAUUCUUUCAAAAUUAUGAGAUGGGACUUGAUUGUGCAUUGUACCUGUGUCUUUGGCAAAGAAAAUAGAUUUCGGUGGCAGAUAGUCUCAAAUUUUUAACAAUAUUAAUGGUUUCAUCGAACCCUUCCCAUAUACCAGAUCUUGUACUAUGUUCUACACAUGCUCUCUGAUUUAAUCCUGGAAACAGCCCAAGGAGUUCAGAGCUGUUGCUUCUGUCCAGUGCUAAAUGAGACCAUGAAGUGCCAUUUCAGAGAGAGUGUGGGACUCGGGAUGAGUCUCUGACUGCGAGGUGUCUUCGUGUCCGCAGAAGCUCACAAGUCAGGACUGCCAUGACAUAAGCACCGCAUGGACUCACCUCCAAGGUCACUGAUCACAUCCAGAUGAUGGGCUCUGGCUGCAGGAGGAGUUCCAGGCUGGGACACAGUGGCAACUCCUCACAUUCCUCUCACACAGACCGGAGGGAGAGUCCACCUCAUUUCCCCGCUGUCUGUGUCCUAUCCAUGCUGCACUCAAACACAGUGGUGGUGGAAAUGCCAGUGGUAAUGAGUCUAUCUUGCAGCUUUUAAGGGUAACAUGCCCUUUAUGGAGGAGCUGUCCGGACAAGACCGGCUGCUUCAGAUGUUGGCUUGCCCUAACGCCCCUGAGGGUUUGGGGGAACUGUGUCCUCACCAUUGCAAGCCCUGAGCACACUUCCUGGUGCACCUCCCUCUCCAGUUUACACCAGCAGGGCUUAGCCUCAGCCACUGGAUGCGGACGGCUCACCAGCUGCUUAGGAGAACGGCCAAAGUAUUUGCCGCCAGCCGCACGGAGUCCUGGGUCUGAAUCCUACCCUCCCACGUGCCGACUGUGCAAAUCUGGGUAGUUAUUUAUCCUUCCUGUGUCCCGGUUCCUCAUCUAUAAAAUCUCCACCUACUUUCCAGAAUUGUUUUCAGAAUUAAGUGUUUUCCUAUGUCAAGUGCUUAGGACAUCGUGUUUGACAUGUAGUGAAGUUUUGGACAUGUUGACUGUUGCUGUCUCUAAUAUGUAAUUAGACUUCAUGCCUAUCCUCUGUAUGACCUGCGGGCUGACUGUCCCCCUCCCCCUUUCCUGGUGAUACCCAGACUGGUGACACCCAUCUCCUUUCUUCUCCUGAGUUCUGUGGUUCACAGCCCCCACUGAUGACCCGUCCGUACACAGUUUUCUCUCAGUAGCCCCAGAGUGCUUCUGCUCUUCCUGAGUGCUGUGACUGUCCUGCCCGUGUGCUGCUCACCGAGCCGCUUUUUCCUCUACCCAUACCUUUUCAUUGUGGUUUUCCUACCCCCUCUUGUCUGUUAAAGAUUUCAGAUCCCCGGAGUGCUGGAGUGGUUCAAUUGAUGAAGUGUCUGUCCUCAGCUUAGGUCAUGACCCAGGGUCCCAGGAUCAAGUCCUGCAUCAGUCUCCCUGCUCAGUGGGGACUCUGCUUCUUCUGCCUCUGUGCCCCCACCCCCGACAGCUUGUACUCUCUGUUUCUGUCUGACAAAUAAAUAGAUAAAAUCUUUAAAAAAAAAUUUUCAAAUCCCCAUUUCCUGCCCAUAUCUAUCAUAUGAUUGAUGUCUCUGUAUUCACAGUCACAUGUAGGACAUCUUCCUUCAAAUAUUCUGCCAAAGUAUCAGAGGAGAGCGCUUUGAAACCCUUAAAUGGAAGCCUGGGUACCUUUGUUAAUUAGACACAAGUAAGCAUAGCUUAUUGUAACUAGAUACCAUUGACUUGGGCAAGAUCGUGAAUUUUGGAAGAAACUAAAAUGUGAGGAAACAGAACAAUAUGGAUUUUUUAAAAUAACCUACUCAGAAGUAGCAUAAAUGGCAGAAAACUGAACCAAGAGUAGCCUUGAUGAAUGAGGUUGUGUUGCUCGUCAGAGGCAAAGGGCCAGUGGACGCUCAUCUGUGAGCCACCCACUGAAACGUUACUAGGGCUUCACCUUUACAUAUUUUCCUACGUUUGAGCGAAGCUGAAUUUUAUUCCAAGUUUGACCUGAAACUUUUCUCUUCAGCUGUCUUAAAAAAAGGCAGUCCUUGAGGCAAAACUCAGAGUGUGGUGAGGGAAGCCUGAACGUUGCUUACCUGUGGGGGCAGAGUAUGGCGAUUGGUUGGCGGGAGCACCGGUGAGCUUUCUGGCCUGCUGGGGGGGUCUUGUAUCCCAACCUGAGUGGGAGACGCACAGACAUGAACAUGCAUGAAAAUCCAUCAGGUCCAACACUUACUUAUACUUUGUGCCUCUUACCGACAAGCCAGGCGAAAUAGGAAUGAUGUAAGGCCUUUGAAGAACUAAAAUGUCCUUUCCUCAUUUUGGAAGACAGGAAGGGUAUUCCAUUCAUUCUUCUCUUCCUGGUUAUGCAGCGGGAGGAGUUAAGAGGCAGGAGGAAGGUGUGGGGUGCUUUCCUCCAGGACUUUGUCAUCCUCCCAGCUCCGCCCUCCCCCCCCCCCCCCCCCCCCCCCCCCGCCCGCCCCAGCCCCAACUCAUCCCCUUGCUGUUUGUGUGGAUAAAUGUUUUCCGGGAUUUGAAGAGAGCACACCACAUGCUCCACAGCUGCAUUUUUAUUCAGAAGCUGAAGGGUAGAGCCUUUUGUGACACGAUCACAUUCUUCCCCAGUUUGCUUUCCUACUAGCAUCUCUGUCGGCUGCCCAUCUUCCCGUCGUGGUGCUUGAGAGUAGAAACUAUUUUCUGCCUUUUCCUCCUCAACAAGUGCCUAGUGAAUUGGAGCUUCUAGGGUGGAGAAGAGAUGGCAAAAGGAAUGAUUCAGUAAUAAGGAGACAAUAAAGAGCCAUCCAUGUGGAGACAGUAACACAUCUUUUCCAUCCAUCUGUCGAAGGCCUUACGAUAGAACUAAGCCAAGGUUAUAAAAAGAUUGCAAUUUUCCAUAUGCAAGAGCCAGAUUUAGGGCCAGGAGGAAGGAACAGAGAGGGUGUUUCUAACAUUUCUGACAUGAGAGAGUCUACAUGUGUAAGCCUUUUCUUCCAAAAUACCUCAUUCUAUGACAGAAGUCAGGUUCGGGGAAACGUACUGCUCUCAGUUGACUUAGAACGGAAAGUACGUUUACUUUGUGAGAAAUUGCUUCAUAUUAGGAAAGCAUCUGGGAGUCUGCUAUAAUUCUCCCUCUGGGGCUCAUGCCGUUGUCCUGUUUGGAAGUGGUUCUGAGUGAGCUGAGGGCUUCCGAAAUCUCCUUCAGGACCUUAGUUCUAGGCUGUAACAUAGGAUGCACACAUCACUGGAGAACUGCAGUCCUCUCGUUACCCCUGCUGUUCUCUCCCUCCCCAGAGUCACUGUGAAGUCACGGAUACAGCAGUAACACUGUAAACCCAUUAGUUCUCUAAAAGGAGUAGGAUUUCCUAAGUUCACUCUGUCCCAGCUCUUGCCUUUCCUGAAGCCAAAAUAACAAAAACAGUGCGAUUCUGUGAAAACCAUGGAAUCUGUGGACCCACCAGGAUAGAUGAGACAGACCUCGGUAUACAUAAAACCUCACUAAAGUAAAACCUCUUGAUGACUCUGUGGGCUUCUGACUUCCACCCAGCUCCCAGUCUCAAAUGGAACCUAACAUUUGCUGCUGCUUCUGACAAAAGCCUGGAGGAGGUGGGAGGUGAUUUCCUGUCCCAGUGUCCCCAGAUCUUGCUAAGCAAAUGUGACUUUCAACCUUCCAUACUCAAACUUGUAUGAUAAAGAGUAAUUUUGUAGAGGCAAUGUAAUCCCAAAUAUGUGGGAAAUGAAUUUUAAGAAAGGUGAAUGA
Molecule: long non-coding RNA, 6907 nt
Organism: Lutra lutra (Eurasian river otter)
Lineage: Eukaryota; Metazoa; Chordata; Mammalia; Carnivora; Mustelidae
Exons: 2
Source: RefSeq, a predicted model, not a curated record